RNAcentral lists this ribosomal RNA (496 nucleotides) under uncultured bacterium. RNAcentral's name for it is "partial 16S ribosomal RNA". It matches the Rfam family "Bacterial small subunit ribosomal RNA", at positions 28 to 506 of the family's 1533-position model. The record is from RNAcentral.
GAUGAACGCUGGCGGCGUGCCUAAUACAUGCAAGUCGAGCGAACAGACGAGGAGCUUGCUCCUCUGACGUUAGCGGCGGACGGGUGAGUAACACGUGGAUAACCUACCUAUAAGACUGGGAUAACUUCGGGAAACCGGAGCUAAUACCGGAUAACAUGUUGAACCGCAUGGUUCAACAGUGAAAGACGGUCUUGCUGUCACUUAUAGAUGGAUCCGCGCCGCAUUAGCUAGUUGGUAAGGUAACGGCUUACCAAGGCAACGAUGCGUAGCCGACCUGAGAGGGUGAUCGGCCACACUGGAACUGAGACACGGUCCAGACUCCUACGGGAGGCAGCAGUAGGGAAUCUUCCGCAAUGGGCGAAAGCCUGACGGAGCAACGCCGCGUGAGUGAAGAAGGUCUGCGGAUCGUAAAACUCUGUUAUUAGGGAAGAACAAAUGUGUAAGUAACUAUGCACGUCUUGACGGUACCUAAGCAGAAAGCCACGGCUAACUACGU